This 507-nucleotide ribosomal RNA is filed under the name Nocardia brasiliensis. Its description in RNAcentral is "bacterial SSU rRNA". It matches the Rfam family "Bacterial small subunit ribosomal RNA", at positions 23 to 547 of the family's 1533-position model. The record is from RNAcentral. Lineage: Bacteria; Bacillati; Actinomycetota; Actinomycetes; Mycobacteriales; Nocardiaceae.
GUCAGGACGAACGCUGGCGGCGUGCUUAACACAUGCAAGUCGAGCGGUAAGGCCCUUCGGGGUACACGAGCGGCGAACGGGUGAGUAACACGUGGGUGAUCUGCCUCGCACUUCGGGAUAAGCCUGGGAAACUGGGUCUAAUACCGGAUAUGACCUUUCAGUGCAUGCUGUUUGGUGGAAAGAUUUAUCGGUGCGAGAUGGGCCCGCGGCCUAUCAGCUUGUUGGCGGGGUAACGGCCCACCAAGGCGACGACGGGUAGCCGACCUGAGAGGGUGACCGGCCACACUGGGACUGAGACACGGCCCAGACUCCUACGGGAGGCAGCAGUGGGGAAUAUUGCACAAUGGGCGAAAGCCUGAUGCAGCGACGCCGCGUGAGGGAUGACGGCCUUCGGGUUGUAAACCUCUUUCGACAGGGACGAAGCGAGAGUGACGGUACCUGUAGAAGAAGCACCGGCCAACUACGUGCCAGCAGCCGCGGUAAUACGUAGGGUGCGAGCGUUGUCCG